UACGGAGGGUGCAAGCGUUAUCCGGAUUUACUGGGUUUAAAGGGUGCGUAGGUGGGUAGGAAAGUCAGUGGUGAAAUCUUCGGGCUUAACCCGGAAACUGCCAUUGAUACUAUUUAUCUUGAAUACUUUGGAGGUAAGCGGAAUAUGUCAUGUAGCGGUGAAAUGCUUAGAUAUGACAUAGAACACCAAUUGCGAAGGCAGCUCACUACGGGAUCAUUGACACUGAGGCACGAAAGCGUGGGGAUCAAACAGG
This 253-nucleotide ribosomal RNA is filed under the name uncultured bacterium. RNAcentral's name for it is "partial 16S ribosomal RNA". It matches the Rfam family "Bacterial small subunit ribosomal RNA", at positions 524 to 776 of the family's 1533-position model. The record is from RNAcentral.